CUUCGGGUGGGCGUAUGUGGAAAGAGCGGCGGUUGGGUGAGUAACACGUGGACUACCUGCCUACAAGAUCGGGAUAACACCGGGGAAGCGGUGCUAAUACCGGAUGAUACUUCGUAUCACAUGAUGCGAAGAUGAAAGACGGUUUCGGCUGUGACUUGUAGAUGGGCCCGCGGCGCAUUAGCUAGUUGGUGAGAUAAUAGCUCACCAAGGCAACGAUGCGUAGCCGACCUGAGAGGGUGAUCGGCCACACUGGGACUGAGACACGGCCCAGACUCCUACGGGAGGCAGCAGUUGGGAAUCUUCCGCAAUGGACGAAAGUCUGACGGAGCAACGCCGCGUGAGUGAUGAAGGUUUUCGGAUCGUAAAACUUUGUUGUGAGGGAAGAACAAGUACGAAUUAACUACUCGUACCUUGACGGUACCUUACCAGAAAGCCACGGCUAACUACGUGCCAGCAGCCGCGGUAAUACGUAGGUGGCAAGCUGUUGU
Molecule: ribosomal RNA, 488 nt
Filed under: uncultured Bacillota bacterium
Lineage: Bacteria; Bacillati; Bacillota
Description: bacterial SSU rRNA
Rfam family: Bacterial small subunit ribosomal RNA
Source: RNAcentral